This 225-nucleotide ribosomal RNA is filed under the name uncultured bacterium. RNAcentral describes it as "partial 16S ribosomal RNA". It matches the Rfam family "Bacterial small subunit ribosomal RNA", at positions 524 to 748 of the family's 1533-position model. The record is from RNAcentral.
UACGUAGGUGACAAGCGUUGUCCGGAUUUACUGGGCGUAAAGAGCGCGCAGGCGGUCGUUCAAGUCGAGUGUGAAAGCCCCCGGCUCAACUGGGGAGGGUCACUCGAUACUGAUCGACUCGAAGGCAGGAGAGGGAAGUGGAAUUCCCGGUGUAGUGGUGAAAUGCGUAGAUAUGGGAGGAACACCAGUGGCGAAGGGCGACUUCCUGGCCUGUUCUUGACGCUG